Carya illinoinensis is the source of this 5733-nucleotide long non-coding RNA. RefSeq lists it as uncharacterized. The record is from RefSeq and is a predicted model, not a curated record. The transcript is spliced from 2 exons. Lineage: Eukaryota; Viridiplantae; Streptophyta; Magnoliopsida; Fagales; Juglandaceae.
GUCUGGAUCUAUUCUAUGUUUUAUUUGAUAAGUAAUAUGUUAAUAAGCUUUACUUGUAUAAAAAAAGCAAUAUGUUAAUAAGCUGAGAAUGGUUGCAACUGGAAGUAAAGAGAAACACCUAGAAAGAGAACAGAAGCUUCAAUUCCAUCACUCACUUAAAAGCUUUAAAUAUUGUCCCCAGUUCCUGAGCAACAUCACAAUGAAAAAGUAAAUUGUCGGAAAUUUGCAUAUCCAACACCAAUCAACUAUAAUUAAAUUGUGCUUCUGAAAUUAUCCAUACAUUGAAUCUUUCCCUAAAGUAUGUUUAAUGCAAGGUUCCUCUAGAUUUUUCUCUCUCCAUACAACCAAAACUUAAAUGAGGAAAAGUGACAUUUUUUCUCUCCGAUAAUGCUUGGUGGUUUGUAACGAGGUUACAGUUGAGGGUUGUGUUUGUUAGGUGUGACUGUGUGAUAGAACAUGGUUCUCAAAACAUUCAGUGAUAGAAUCUAAACUUUUUUCAUUAUCAAAGGAUGAAUGCCUCUUGCUAAUAACCGAGAGAAGCUGGAAGGUGGUGAAUGAGCUGAGGAUGAGGGUGUCCACGCUGCAGUGGUUUGCUAAGUCAUUGGAGGGCUGUCUAAAGGGGGAAAAAAAGGACUUGUACACCACAGUGAGGGAAGGAAAUCACAGCUUCAUAGCGCAUCGAUGUUCAAAUGCUCAUGGUUGUUACUUGGCAUUAGUGGAAUAUAGAGGUGGCAGCAGCAUAGUUUUAUUUUCAUACCUAAAGAGAUAGAGGGUAACAGAUGGAGGAGGAUGGAGGAGGCACUGCGGGAGUUUGCAAAUGAAGGGAGCGGCUUAUGUCAUAAUAGAGGAGGGGCAUAUAUGAGGCUGUUGGUGGCGACGCCUCAGUUGCAAAUAUGUUCAUACAGGGAGGCUCUAGUACCAUUAAGGAAGUUGCUACAACCUUGUGAGUGGAAUAGGGUUGGCAACAACGGUGCUAUGGCAGCUCAGAGAGGAGCCUCUACAAGACCAGGUAAUGAGUAUGGGACCAACAAAGCUCCUCUUACCAUAGGUACAGUCAGUGCUCAGUGGAAAGGUGGAGGUGGCAGGCCUGCUGUUGGUCUUGCAAAGGAAAGCAUACACUGCUGUUGGACGUCAGGCUUCAAUUAAAGGCACUCCAGGAGAAGGUUGACUUCUUCGUAUAGUUGUGCUAAGGAAAUAAACGACUCGAGCCUAGGCUUGGAGUUUAAUGGUAGAAGGGCAUGGCUUGGUGUGGACCUAGACUCGGUGACAAGUUGGUCAGCUCAAAGUGGGCCUAGGCUCAUGGGUAAUUGGACCCAAUUUUGCAGAUGGGCAAACAUUAAGGAGACAAGUGGGCCACUCUUUGGGGCCUUAGCCCAUGGGGCAUAGCCUAGGCAAGGCGAGGCUCGGGACCCAACCCUUGUGGAGAAUCAAAGAGUGCUCUAGGCCCCUGCAAGAGUCUAGCAACCUUGCUGGCAAAGGUUCUAUUUGUUUUGUGACCGGCCGAGGAAUCCUCAACAGUGGCCCAGAAGGCGACGCCAAUGGUGGGGCAGGCGACGACAAAUGUCUUUGAAAAAGUCUCAAAUGUUUCCUCACCAUCGAGGGUCGUUUUUCUAGCACACCAUAGCCAAUCAAUGCCGAGGAGUAGCAAAGAUGGUGGGGAGGCGACAACAGCUGUCUCUUUAAUGCAAACAUUUCCUCACCACCGAGGGUCGGAUUCCCUGCACAUCACAGUUAGAUGACGCCAGAAAUCUACCCAAUAGUUAGACGUGGCCCGACAAGUAGUAGGGAUGUGGUUGCUUUGGACUAUCCAAUGGUAUCCCCUUCGGUGAAGGCUGUAUGGUAGGUGGACGUGGCCAGAGACCUACCCAGUGCGAGAUUUGCCUACGAUGCCAAUGUUGGGCCCUCACAGAUGCUAAUUUUGAUGCAGGCUUUCCUUGAAUGGGAUUGUGGUAAUAUAUUUGUGGAGGAGGAUAUGGGGAUGGCAUUGGAUUCAUAGUGAGCAACUAGGGACGAGAUCGACAUGGUCAGGGACCCAUACCUCUAAACUGUAUGUUACCAAGUUAGUUUAGAGCUUUUGAUUGGGUUAUACAUAAGGUGAAGGAAAUUCAACACUGUGUAGGGAUGGAAUGUGAGGGUUUUGAGGAACAAUUCAUGGCUUUGCUUGCCACCAUUGAAGUUGGUCAUGCUCAGAUCAAGAAAUUAGGAUCUAAAAAACAGAAGGAACUAAAGAGACUAACAUGGUCUCUUAACUAUGAGGGCAGCUCAAGUCAAGAAAGAUCCAAAGGGAAGGGUUUAGCAACUUCUUUAGGAAGCUCAAAAUUGUUUCUUGGAAUGUCCAAGGGCUCAACGAGGCCAAUAAUCGUCUUCGGAUAAAAAAUUUACUUCACAAGUAGAAGACAGACAUUGUGUGCUUACAAGAAACAAAGCUGAAAUGUAUUCCAAGAAGGGUGGUGGAGAAAAUGGAGGAAUUCAUAAGGGAAUACACAGUUUCAUGUUCUUUUAAGAAUGUGGAAGACAACUUUUUGUGGGCUUUUGAUGGUGUUUAUGGGCCAAACUUGGACAACAAUAGAGGACUAUUAUGGGAAGAAAUAGCAAGAGUUCAUAGUUGGUGGGAACUACCUUGGCGUAUAGGUGGUGAGUUUAAUGUUAUAAGAUUCCCAAGUGAACGUUAACGAGAAAGUAGGUUGCAGCCAGCAAUGAUGGAAUUCUCGAAGUUUAUUGUCGAGUUGAGUUUGGUGGGUAUUCCCCUCAUGGGUGGAGCAUUGACUUCAUCGUGUUGGAGGGCAUGGUUGUAAUUAGUGUAACUUGUGAGGGUAUAAUUGUCAAUUGUAUGUAAUAUAUAUAUUCUUGAACAUCAAUGAAUAAUAAACAAGUAUUCUCUCUAUGUUCGACUACAUGGUAUCAGAAUGUUGAGUAGUCGGUUGGUGGUGGUUGUGUGACAGCGUUAGUGGUGUAGUGGUUCAGCUAGUGGGGGUUAGUGGUGCAGAGUUGGUUUGUGGUGGUUAGUGCAAUGGUUCGGCUGUCGGAUCCGAGUUCCCCGUUGUUGUCUGUGCACUCCAGUGGUUUUCGGUGUGGUCUUCGAUGCUGGGCACUAGAGUCGAGCUCGCCAUCAUUCUCUAUGCAUCCUGGUGAGUUUCCCUUAAUCAUUGGCUGCCGGAAGGGCUGUUUGUCACUGGCAACGGCUAAGUCUCGGAGUGUUUGGUUGCAGGUCUAAGCUAUCCAAUCCUCAAGUGCGAAUGCCCCCAACUUGGAGUAAGAGCUUAUUCCUAUCUAGAAUAACACCUAUUUGGUAACGAGAAUACGGUAAACCCAGCUUCACUAAUCCUUAUUUAGGAUAACCUAAUCCGUGUUUAAGGUUAGUUAGAAGCUGAUACCAGUAAUACCCAGUUUAGACCCAAUACAACCCUAUACAGGCUGGUUUUGACCCAAUACAAGCUGAUUCUGAUCGAUACAGAGCCAAAAUUUGGUUACUCAGGUCGAUUUUUCGGGUACUUAAGCUGGGUUUCUAUUUGCCAGAUUGUGUUUCUCGGUCUUUCAUCCAUAUUUCAUAUUUUGUGUGGAUUUUCUGUCUCCAAGUUGAAUUGUGAUAUUUUAUUUGCAUCCAUAGCAAUUAAAUGUGAGUCAUUGUCUCUUGCACCAAACUUUAAUAUGCCUAUGACUUUGGUGAAGUUGAAUGGAAAGAACUAUAUGCUGUGGUCAAAAUCUAUUAAAAUGUUUUUGAAAGGCAAGGGUGUUUGUACCCACUUGGUUGAUCCAAUGCUCGACUCAAUUAGUUCUACAUUUGCUCAAUGAGAACAAGAAGAUGUUCAAAUUUUGUCCUUGAUGUUGACCAAUAUUGAGCCUAUCAUUUGCGCUAGUUUGAUACAUUUUGACACUACUCGAGGUGUGGAGGCAUCUCAAAUAGAUAUAUUCUGGUGAUGGAAACAUAACCCGUAGUUAUGAGUUGUGUAAGGAAUUCUUUGGUUUGAACAUGGUACUUUGGGCUUGGAAGAGUAUUAUUCUCAAGUGAUGAGCAUAUGUGAACUCAAUGUAUCAACCUAUCUCAUCUGAUGUUUCACGCAUGCAACAACAACGUGAAGCAAUGUAUCAACCUAUCUCAUCUGAUGUUUCACCCAUGCAACAACAACGUGAAGAGUUCAAUGUUGUUUGGUUUCUUACAGGCUUAAAACCUGAAUAUGAGGCUUUGGUUGAAGAUGAAGAUGCACAUACCUAGCAUGGGUUUUAUACAUGCAGUUUGGGCCUUGAGUUUGGCCAUGUUUUACCAGGUUUCUCCUUGGGUCCUAAUAACCAAAGGGGUGGCCCAUUUAAUAGAUCCAACUAAAUUCUAAGUCUUGCCAAUAAUUUGAUGUGCUAAGCUGCUUAACAAUCCUAACGGGCCGAUCUUACAUUCUAAAUUGAGCUCAACUCAUUUAAUAAUACUUUUUGGACUAUUAAAUAAUUCUUGGGCCUAAUACCAAUUAAAUAUAGGUCCACUUGGUCUAUAAAUAUUAAAUGGAUUUAACUCAAUUAUUGAGACCAAUAAGAAUUCCAUAAUCAAUCAUAAUAAAUGCCCAUGGCCUAUUCCAAAUUACCCGAUAAAUCUCAAUUGGGCUUCUAUAAAUAUUGGCCCAUUAAUACCAUCUAAAAUCAUCCACUAAACCUUAAUAAAAUUUUGGACCUAUAGGCCUAUUUAAAAUCCAUAAUCAACCUCAGCAAAUUCUAGCUCAUGGGCUUCUUCAAAAAAUUUAUUUAACUUAAUGUAGGCCCAAUAAAAUUAUCCCUAAUAAUAUUGGAUUGGGUCAUAACAUAGUGUAACAUACGAACCUAGAAUUUAGACUAAUUCAGUUAGAAAUUAUUUAGUUAUGUUAUUAUUUUAUUUAUUCUUUUUAUUAAUUACUUAUUUAUCUUUCUUCAGAUGCUUAUAAUUAUUUAUUUGUUAAAUAAGAUAAUAAACCAGAUUAAGUAAAGUUUUAAAGAGGUUUCCUUUAUCUUGUAUUCCUUGUUUUUAUCGGAUAGAAUUCAAAUUGUUUUCAAAAAGAUUCUGAGAUCAGAACAACACUUAAAUUAGAUCCUAUCUAAACUCCUUCUGAAGACCACGUAAAUAAGAAACCCUUUCUCCAUAAAACCCCACAUUAUACUCAAAACUCUUCACAUACAAAGAUAGGCAGAAAAACUCACACCAGCCCAACGUAACAGCUCCUACAAACCUGGAAAACCACUUUCACAGCCAACCAAGGCAACCAACUCGCCGGAAACAGCCACAGAAAGUGCCGACCAGCCCAAUCCCGUCGAACCCACUCCCUUCCGGCCAAUGGUGUUGCCGGUCACUUCCAGCCAUCCCAGAGCUGUCAUCGCCUCAGCUUCCUCUUGGUAAAGCAUCGCACAGCCACUUGAUUUUCUUUUUCUUUCUUUGGUUACAAUGAUACGCGUGAGCCAUUCCCGUAAGCUCCUCCUGGACUCUUUUAUUUGCUUUACUUUAGACUUUCCCAAUAGCCCCUCAAAUAAACUCUUAUAUUACCUUUAUGCCCUUUAAAGCCCCCGUAAUCAUCUUUUGAAGAACCUUUGGUUAAAAUUACAAUCCUGCCAUUAAGUGCCUAUGCCUUAUUUAUGUUCCUAUACGUGGGCUGCCCCUCACUUAGGCCUUGGGCCUCCUUUUUUUUCUUAAGUGGUUGCUUUCAUAUUAUUUUAAAUUAGGGCUUGAUUUUACUACAUUUCAGCAAUUGUUUUAGUGAUUUUAUUGGACUGAUUAUAUUU